Gadus macrocephalus (Pacific cod) is the source of this 240-nucleotide long non-coding RNA. RefSeq lists it as uncharacterized. The record is from RefSeq and is a predicted model, not a curated record. The transcript has 2 exons. NCBI's taxonomy places the organism in Eukaryota, Metazoa, Chordata, Actinopteri, Gadiformes, Gadidae.
GGUGAGGGGAGAGUGAUCCACAAGGUGAGGGGAGAGUGAUCCACACGGUGAGGGGAGAGUGAUCCACACGCUGAUUGAAGAAUGUGAUUAUGGUGGAUCUACCAAAAUAAAAGUCCCUGCUGAUUGAGGAGUGUGAGUGUGGUGGAUCUACCAAAAUAAAAGUACCUGCUGAUUGAAGAGUGUGAGUAUGGUGGAUCUACCAAAAUAAAAGUACCUGCUGAUUGAAGAGUGCGAGUAUGG